AGGGUGUAAACGCUGCAGACUUGGUGUUGGAGGCCCUUUGGGGGCAUUCAGUGCCGGAGAGAAGUUGUUAAGUCUGCUACUUGGGGAGUACGUCCGCAAGGAUGAAACUUAAAGGAAUUGGCGGGGGAGCACCGCAACGGCAGGAGCGUGCGGUUUAAUUGGGAUUCAACACCGUAAAACUCACCAGGGAAGACUGUUACAUGAAGGCCGAGAUGAAGACUCUGCUAGAUUUUCAGAGAGGUGGUGCAUGGCGUCAGUGACU
RNAcentral lists this ribosomal RNA (262 nucleotides) under uncultured archaeon. RNAcentral's name for it is "partial 16S ribosomal RNA". It matches the Rfam family "Archaeal small subunit ribosomal RNA", at positions 748 to 1008 of the family's 1478-position model. The record is from RNAcentral.